Long non-coding RNA from Ipomoea nil (Japanese morning glory), 259 nucleotides. RefSeq lists it as uncharacterized. Lineage: Eukaryota; Viridiplantae; Streptophyta; Magnoliopsida; Solanales; Convolvulaceae. The record is from RefSeq and is a predicted model, not a curated record. The transcript is spliced from 3 exons.
ACACCGGAUUUUUAUCUUUCAAAUCCUCAAAUCAAACAAUGUAAGUUGAGGCAUAACUUAUUUAUCUUUGUCACAUAUAUCAAACCCAAUGCCAAUGCUACCUUGGAAUGGGCAACCAUCAUAAGCAAUUCUUAAUAUAUGGCAUGUGCAUAUUGAUUAACUUCUACUAAUUCUUGUAAACAACUAUCAUCAAUGUACACAUGAAUGACUAACAAUAAUCUAGAAAAGAACAUUGCUACCCAGUUCAAGCGCAACCUUU